This 1181-nucleotide long non-coding RNA is filed under the name Heterocephalus glaber (naked mole-rat). RNAcentral describes it as "lncRNA (ENSHGLG00100042443.1)". The record is from RNAcentral. Lineage: Eukaryota; Metazoa; Chordata; Mammalia; Rodentia; Bathyergidae.
GGGCAGGAGUGCAACCCACUGGGGCUCUCACCAAUCUAGGUUUGAACCCCAACCCCGGCUUCUCAGUCAACCUGGGCUAAUCAUUUAGCUUCUCUUUGCAGAAGAGAGAGAUAUUACAAGAUGCUUUAUGAUUGCUCCAUGAUGAAGACCAAUGUGUGAUCUGGCCCACUUACAGCAGAACUGUUAAAAACCAGGAUUCCUGAGCAAUACAACAGACCACCACAACCAAGAUAUAGGAGAUGGAUGAAGAAAUCUGCAUGUAACAAAUUCUCAGGGGAUUCCUAUGCACCCUCAAGAUUGAAAGUCACUGAGCAAAGUCCAAACUCUUUAAUCAGGCUUCAUGGCCUCUACAAUAUGCCUUUUGAGUCACAUUCCCACAAACUCUCUGCCUCCACAUCACUGGCUGACAUCUGGUCCCAGAAUACAGGUGAGCCACUGGGAUAAGAGCAGGCAUCACACACCUACCCUGACAGGGCCCCUACAAAGAACCACUAUGAUUGUUAUUUUGUGGUUGAAGAUACUGAGGUUUACAGAGGUCCAGUGACUUGGCCAACAUCACAGAGCAAGUGUGUGGCAGAGGUCAGAUUCAAAUCCACAUCAAUGGGAUUUCAAGAGUCCUCAUUCUUAACCACCCUGAUAUACCACACUUUAUGUUCCCUCAAAUGUCCUCAUACCUGUGUCCACUGCUCAGCUGUCCCCUCAGCCUCACAUGCUCAGGACACUCUAAUCUUUUGCAAACAUAGAAUGUAAAUAUCCUGCUGGACCCUUAAACUUUCACAAAUCCCACUAAAGAGUAUUUACUAUUCCCAGAUCCUGUGUACCAACAGCCUUUUGUCAAUAGCACCAUUUUUGACUGUUAAAAUGACCUUGCGAAUAUUUGUUUAUGUUCCAAUGUCCUUUACUAGCCUUUUUUUAAAAAAAUCCUAAAACGACAAAACAAAUUGCUAAGACACAGAAGGAUUUUAGGGCAGUAAAAUUUUUCUAUGUGAUCCUACAAUGGUGGAUACAUGUCAUUUCAUGCUUGUCCAAAGCCAUAGAAGGUACAACACAGGGAGUGAACCCUAGUAUCAACUAUGUCUUGAGUGAUAAUGAUGUGUCAGUGUGGGUUCAGUGCUUGUAACAAAUGUACCCCUCUGGUAGGGAUGCUGAUAGGAGGGGAGGCUGUGCAUGUGUGAGGCAAG